RNAcentral lists this ribosomal RNA (591 nucleotides) under Coniopteryx sp. YW-2016. RNAcentral describes it as "12S ribosomal RNA". The record is from RNAcentral. Lineage: Eukaryota; Metazoa; Arthropoda; Insecta; Neuroptera; Coniopterygidae.
GCGGUUAUACAAAUUAUGAAAAUAAAUUUUUUUAGUUUUAGUUAAUUAUUAUUUAUAAUAAAUUAUAAAUAUAUAGGUGAAAUUAUUAUUUAUAAAUAAUUUAUAUUAGUGUAAAUGAAGCUAAUAAAUUAAAAAUUUAAACUAGGAUUAGAUACCCUAUUAUUUUUAUUAAAUCUAAUAAAUUAGAGUAGUAAAAGUUAUGUGCUUAAAACUCAAAAAAUUUGGCAGUAUUUUAGUCUAAUUAGAGGAAUUUGUUAUAUAAUCGAUAGUCCACGAUAAUAUAAUACUUUAUUUAAUAUUUAUAUACCGUUGUUAUAAAAAAAUUUUAUAAGAAAUAAUUUUUUUAAAUUUAUAUAAGAAUAAAUUUCAGAUCAAGGUUUAGUUUAUAAUAAAGAAUAAAUGAGUUACAAUAAAAUUAUUUAUUACAGAUUAAUUAUUUAAAAAUUAUUAUAAAGGUGGAUUUAUUAGUAAAUAAUUUGAAAUAAAAUUAUUGAUUUUAGCUCUAAAAUAUGUACACAUUGCCCGUCGCUCUCAUUAAUAAUGAGAUAAGUCGUAACAAAGUAGGUGUACUGGAAAGUGUACCUAGAAAUA